RNAcentral lists this long non-coding RNA (4756 nucleotides) under Sus scrofa (pig). RNAcentral describes it as "lncRNA (ENSSSCG00000057955.1)". Lineage: Eukaryota; Metazoa; Chordata; Mammalia; Artiodactyla; Suidae. The record is from RNAcentral.
CGGGUGCUGGGUUCAGGUGCUGGAAGGCUAGGUGAGUGUAAGGCAGUGGUCCCUGUGAAAAGCAGGCAGGAGUGCUGACAAUCUGAAACUUUUACGUCAUUUUUCCUCCUUUUGUGUUCUUUUAAAUUGUCCCCCUUUCGCAAAGUGCUUUCAUAAAGAAAAGAACAGGGUGUUGGUAAAUACAAAUAGAUUAAUGUAAAUUUUCCUAACUGCAGAGAAUGUCUAUUGAAUGUGUACUUUUUGAAAUUAUUUCGUUUGCUGAUUUCAGUAGAUUCCAAUGGGAGACCAUUUUGCAUCCAAAACAAACCCGAAGCAUGCUGACCAUAAUGCAGUUUAUCAAGUCUGUUCAAAGGUCGAAAUUAUAAAACAAUUUCCUUACAUUUUAUACUCAGAAGUAAAACAAAAGCAGAUAAAAACCCCCAAUAUUUUUAGACUUAAAAGCCCUAAAACAGCAGAAAGAAUUUGUCAUCUAUCUUCUACCUGGAUAGCGCCCAUUUUACGAGGAGGGUUUGUGAGGCGUGGAGAGUAGGCUCACCCGCCUCCCGCGGGAGGGCUUAAUACCACCCGGACUGCCAUCCUUCUUUUUUCCCCACAUCCUCAGCAUGUGGAAGUUCCCAGGCCAGGGAUCAGACCUGUGCCACAGUGGCUACCCAAGCUGCUGCAGUGACAAUGCCAGAUCCUUAACCCACUAGGCCACCAGGGAACUCCUCAGCUGCCAUCUUGACAGGAACCAUUUUGGGAACUUUUUUUUUUUUUGGGGAAACAUUUUUUUUUUUUUUCCUGAAAGAUUCUUUUUUUUUGUCAGGGGAUGCUUAUUGUUCAUUCAAUAGAAGAACAAAGUCAUAAAAUAACUUAGCAUCUAGAAAAUUGUGAUGGUGUGCUCAUACUUCAGAAAACAUUUAGAUUUAUUUACCCUAAGCCUUCCAAGUACAAUUUCAAAACUUAUCUAUAAAUAACUGAGAAUUGGGAAGUAUUAUAAAAAUAUAUUUAUAUUUUUUUCCUUGUCAGGCAGAAUGGUAUAAAACUUUUCACAAAGGAUAAAUUUCUCUCUCUCCAAUAAAUUCAAGAACAGAUUUCCACAUUCUCUUCCAUAGAAUAUCACCUCGCCUCUUCUGCCCUUCUUUUCUACAUAUUAAACACAUUUCUCCCUUUUUCAUGUUCAGUGUCCAACACUGCUUAUAACGGCCUACAUUUACGCUAAAGCCACAUUUGAUGCUUCCUUUUUACUCAUUUUAACAUCUUGAAAUUUCUUUACUUCUGACAAGGUGAUGUCUCAAACCUUAAAUAAUUUUGUUUUUGUUGCUCUUUCUAAAUUUCUCUUAAUUCUUGAUACUGUGUUUCAAUUAUGGAUUUAAAUUAGAACUAGGGUCUCUAAUGCAGUGAUCAUACCCAGCAUUAUUCUUAUGUUUCUAUUUAAAUAUCUUAGACUAAUGCUUGUUUUUGACAGUAGCAACUUGCCAGUCCCUCAGCUCUUCUAAAUCAAAAACUGUAUCUAAUUUUCUCCAUAUUUGAAAGCAACUUUGAAUGUACCUUUAUUGUGUGUUCUUUCAUGAAUAUAUUUUAAUAAUUCCCUACUAAAUUCAACCUACAUGUUUCUUAACUUGUGAUCAUUGUAGUAAGUAAACAUAUUAGCCUCAAGAAUUAAAUAGAAUGAGAAAGAGAUAAUGGUUCUGUGCCAUUGUAUGGCUAGGAUGCUUGGGGUUUUUAAUUACUUUGGUAAAUUCUGUCAGGGUUUAAGAAAAAAAAUCACAGCAUAUGAAGGGUUAUAAUUCACUUGUGGAAGUUCUGUCUAAUUUAAGGAGUAGAUACAUUAUUAAUGCAAAUUUCUUUGUCCUAGUAGCUGGUCUGUCUCUCGGAGUUGUUAAGGCUUUGUCCUGGGUGAAAACACACUACACCACUCACAAUCAUUAGGUCUGUUCCUGUGCUGGAAUUCUCUAGUACCUUCCGUCAUUUGCAAAGAGUUGCUUUUCUGCCUGAAGAAGUUGUUAAUGACCAUGAGCUGUGUGGCAAGACCUUACUCUGCUUACCCAACAAUCUUUCCCUGUGUCUCUAGCUCAACUCUCCUAUGUUUCAUAAGUGUGCUUGGCACAAAGAUGAUUUAAAGGUGUAGCUACAACAUAAUUUAUAUGUAUUUCAUACUAUUACAGAAUAGUUGAGCAAAAACCCAUAUAACAUUUCAUGAUCAGGAACAUCUUAAAAUCAGGACGGGCACUUUGAAGUGCAACCGUCUCCAUGUAACGAUGGUUUAAGAAAUGUAGCAAUGACUUUCGAAGAACCGAAAGGUUUUACAUUUUGAGGUUCCUCUUAAGAAGAAUGGCAAUGCUAUAGAUUAGACCACUGAAGACAUACAUGAUAAGAACAGGACAGUUUCUGCAUUUUAGGUCACUUAACGACCUAUCAAAAGGGCACCUCUUUGAUGCCAUUAAAAUUUCCAGCUUUUGACAUAUGAAGAUACGUCAGCAGUGAAUUUGGUAUGUAGCAAUUCACCAUUGAUGACAAUGUACUUUUAGUUUCGUGACUCCUGGAAUAACUGAGUUUCCAAGGCUGAAAACUAGGGUUUUUACCAAAAUGCAGAUAAUAUAUUUUGUUACUCAAAAUUAUCUGAGUGGUGAACUUUAGUCAUUUUCUGAAAAAAGUAUUGAUUUUGCUCUCAUUAGUGAAGAGAAAUAGUUUAUAUAAACAUAGAACUUGAGUUUGUUAUUUUCCUUCAACACUUGAAAUUAUUUUUUCCAUUGUCACCUUGUCUAUUUUAUGUGAUGAGAUAUCUGUUGUUUCUUUGCUUCUUUAUAUUGUUUAUUCUAGCUGAUUUUUAAGAUCUUUGCAUUACCUUUGGAGUUCUGUGGCUUCGUUAAAAUCUUUGUGUUUGAAUUUUUUCAUUUAUCUAGAUUAUGCCUUGGAAUGAUUUUCUUUAUAGUAUUCAUGUCUUUCUUUAAAUAUGGAAAAUUAUCAGCUAUUAUCUUUAAAUGGACAUCUGGAAUUCCUAAUAGACAUUGGUAUGCUUUCUCAUUUAUUCCUCCAUGUCUCUUAAUUAUUCCAUCUCUUAACAUUCUGUGCUCAUUCUAGAAAAUUUCUUCAGAUGUAAUUCACGGUUCAUUAGUAUUCUUUUAGGCAGUUUCUUUUUUCAUUCCAAAAGUUUUCACUAAAUUUUAAAAUUUGAAGACUGUAUUUUUCUUUUUCAUAAGUAUUACUUGGUUCUUUUUCAAAUCUGGUAAUAUGUUUUCACAGUGUCUUAAUGUUGGUUUCUCUUUCUUCCUUUUUAACUUCAUAAUUAUUUUAAUGAUUAGUUUAUGCUUUUUUCAUGUUAUUAACAUAUCUCAAAAUUUUAGAAUUCAAAUCCUCCCCCGUAUGGUGCCUGCUUAUUCGUUAUGUUGGGUAAUUCACAAGCGUGGCUUCACUAUUAUUCAUUUAAUUGUAAACUCAUUUUCAGUUUUUUUUUUCUUUAGGAGUCUUGUGUUCUGUUUAAAACAUGUUUCCAUGGAGAAUUAUAGGUUUCUGUUAGUUUAUAUAAAUUCCAUUUGAAGGAUUCAUGCACUGUGAAUAAUAUAAAUUCAAGCUCUAUAUGGAUACCCACCAGAGUGAGGUGUUAUUUGUCACAAUAGAGCUAUUUUUUUUCCUUCCAUUGCAUCUAGAUUCAUAGUCAGACAAGCUCUAGUCACUUCCCUGGAUCAGUGGGUAUAGUUUUUGCUGCUUCAUCAAGUAGGAAGCAGCUCCCUCUUUGGUCAUGAAUUUAUGUAAGAAUUUCUUUUCUAUCUUUCUUCCUUUUUUUUUUUUUUAGUAAGCUUUUUUUUGGUUAAAAUUUUUCUUGUAGUUGAUUUACAAUGUUCUGUCAAUUUCUGCUGUACAGCAAAGCGACCCAGGUGACUCAGUCAUAUCAUGUUCCAUCACAAGUGACUAUAUAUAGUUCCCUGUCUAUACAGCAGGGUCUCAUUGCUCACCCACUCCAAAUGCAAUAGUUUGCAUUUACUAACCCCAAAUUCCCAGUCGAAUUUCAGUUCCAGAUCUCUAGCCUCCUUAGACCGGAGUCCUGCAGCCAUUAGAGACUGAAGGGACCUACCUCUCCCUGGUCAUGACACCAGCUCUCCAUCUUUAUACUCCGUCUCCAAGCUCUCCUUUUCCAACCCUUGAGGGUUUUCAGUGUUUUACUGUUUGCUGAUCUAUAUAUUUAUUUAGAAAUAUUUAUAGUGGUCAUACUGUGAAGGUACGUAUAUAUGAACAAGAGGUGGUAAAUGCCUCAUCUCAGGUAUAAAAUGAAUUAAUAAUCAGUGGUAAACCUACAAGCAUGCAGUGAAAUGAGACAAAUUUUACAAAGUUAGGAGGAAAAGGAUAGUUUUCUGUCACUAUACUACCUGAAACAAUUUUAUGUCCUUCAACACAUCUCUAUGUGGCCUCACAUUCAUUCUGGGUUUUCAAAAUAUUCUUCCAUCUAUUUUAUGUAUUUCCUUCUGGUUCUGUUUUGCUAGAAGAUUUUAUCAAGUUCUCGCCAAUAUUCAUGUGAACUGUGUUAUUCUCCUGGGUAUAUGUUCAAGAUGUGAGUUCCCAUUGUGGGGCAGCGGAAAUGAAUCCAACUAGUAUCCAUGAGGAUGUGGGUUUGAUCCCUGGCCUCGCUCAGUGGGUUAAGGAUCUGGUGCUAUGAGCUGUGGUGAAGGUCACAGAUGCAGCUUGGAUCUGGCAUUGUUGUGGCUGUGGUGUAGGCUGGCAGCUGCAGCUCCGAUUUGACCCCCUAGCUCAGGAACUUCCAUAUGCCGUGGGUACAGCC